Molecule: transfer RNA, 36 nt
Filed under: Lorentziella imbricata
Lineage: Eukaryota; Viridiplantae; Streptophyta; Bryopsida; Gigaspermales; Gigaspermaceae
Description: partial tRNA-Phe
Source: RNAcentral
GCCGGGAUAGCUCAGUUGGUAGAGCAAAGGACUGAA